This 330-nucleotide ribosomal RNA is filed under the name uncultured eukaryote. Its description in RNAcentral is "partial 18S ribosomal RNA". It matches the Rfam family "Eukaryotic small subunit ribosomal RNA", at positions 1470 to 1796 of the family's 1831-position model. The record is from RNAcentral.
CCAUUCGAUGUUCGGAGCUGCACGCGCGCUACACUGUGGGUGGCAGCAUGUUAGCUUGCCUCGCUCGCAAGAGCGGGGUAAUCGUUUGAAAAUCCCACGUGAUUGGGAUAGGGACUUGUAAUUAUUUCCCUUGAACGAGGAAUCCCUAGUAAGUGCAGGUCAUCAGCUUGCGCUGAUUACGUCCCUGCCCUUUGUACACACCGCCCGUCGCUACUACCGAUUGAACGUUUUAGUGAGGUAUUUGGACUGGACCUUCGGAGGUUCGCGCCUCCGUUGCUGUUCGGGAAGACUCCCAAACUUGAGCGUUUAGAGGAAGUAAAANUCGUANCA